RNAcentral lists this transfer RNA (74 nucleotides) under Bacteroidales bacterium. Its description in RNAcentral is "tRNA-Ile". It matches the Rfam family "tRNA". Rfam says of the family: Transfer RNA (tRNA) molecules are approximately 80 nucleotides in length. Their secondary structure includes four short double-helical elements and three loops (D, anti-codon, and T loops). Lineage: Bacteria; Pseudomonadati; Bacteroidota; Bacteroidia; Bacteroidales. The record is from RNAcentral.
GGUCCCAUAGCUCAGUUGGUCAGAGCAGCGGACUCAUAAUCCGUGGGUCGUAGGUUCAAGCCCUACUGGGACCA